CCGCCGUGCGGGAUGGUGAUCAGCUCGCUGCCGCUGCCGUCGGCGCCGAGGUCGGCGGCGAUCACGGCACCGGGAUCGUCCCGGGUGCCGGG
Molecule: transfer RNA, 92 nt
Filed under: Streptomyces alanosinicus
Lineage: Bacteria; Bacillati; Actinomycetota; Actinomycetes; Kitasatosporales; Streptomycetaceae
Description: tRNA-Gly
Source: RNAcentral